Long non-coding RNA from Photinus pyralis (common eastern firefly), 805 nucleotides. RefSeq lists it as uncharacterized. The record is from RefSeq and is a predicted model, not a curated record. NCBI's taxonomy places the organism in Eukaryota, Metazoa, Arthropoda, Insecta, Coleoptera, Lampyridae. The transcript has 3 exons.
AAUACAAAGUGAUUACAAAUGGUUUGGAACUCCGGUAUGUAGGUAUCAUUGUCGGUGAUUUCCUUUUUAUGUCUUACCAGAUCUUUCCUUAAUCUAAUGACAGGCAUCAUCCAUGGUUCAAAAUCUAACAUAUUUGCUUGUAACAUUACGGGUAGAGCUAUAUUCUGCCGUUCAAAAUGUUCCCAAAAUCUCACAUAAGAAGGUCGCGUGAUGGUUGGACGUGCUCGAUAUAAGACCAGGUCAGCGUUAAACCGCACAUUAUUUGGAUGAAACGGAGCGGAACUACCGAUGCCCAAUUUAGACUAUCCGCAGGACUUGUAGGAAACGCCCCAAUGCAAUACCUUAUAACAGCGUUGUACUCUGUUCUGUUCCCCUGUACUUUGAGCUCGAAAAGCAAAUCUCCUGCCCUAACACGAAACCGUCUAUUCAACAGGAAAGACUUAAUUAUGAGCGGUACCGUGACCCCUGGUGUGAAUAUUGGGAUCCGUUACAUAACAGUAGUAAUAAAUACGUUAAUUUUCGUGGAAGACGGUGGCAAUGGUGGCACAAUAUUUUAAGUAUCGGUGUAAAAUUAUAAUUACGAUGGAAAUGAAUUCCCGAGGGAGAUAGAAUUCUCCGAUGUUGUCGUGCAGGUGGGAAGCCGAGUUGAAAUACUAUGUAUUACAAUGUAAAGUUGUUAAAUGCAAAUUGGAAAAGAGAUGAAAAAGUAAGCAAGUAUAUAUCCUGGAAGGUUUUCAAUAGCUCUUUUCCCUUCCUUGUAAUCAAUAAAGAGCCUAAGGCUAUCUCGUGUGAUUAAGAGAGGGCA